GGCUCGGUGGUGGAUGGUUCACACCUGUGUUCCAUGGAGGUGCUCUAAAAAAUAUCAGCAGGGAAGCCUGUUCGAAUCAGGCCCGAGCCA
Molecule: non-coding RNA, 90 nt
Organism: Mycena metata
Lineage: Eukaryota; Fungi; Basidiomycota; Agaricomycetes; Agaricales; Mycenaceae
Source: the annotation of a GenBank genome assembly